Molecule: RNase P RNA, 354 nt
Filed under: Candidatus Endomicrobiellum cubanum
Lineage: Bacteria; Pseudomonadati; Elusimicrobiota; Endomicrobiia; Endomicrobiales; Endomicrobiaceae
Description: RNase P RNA component class A
Rfam family: Bacterial RNase P class A
About the family: Ribonuclease P (RNase P) is a ubiquitous endoribonuclease, found in archaea, bacteria and eukarya as well as chloroplasts and mitochondria. Its best characterised activity is the generation of mature 5'-ends of tRNAs by cleaving the 5'-leader elements of precursor-tRNAs. Cellular RNase Ps are ribonucleoproteins.
Source: RNAcentral
AAAGAUGGGUAUGCAAUCGCUUUAUACUAUAGUUUAAUUACUAUAGAUGUAAAGAGGAAAGUCCGAACUUUAACUAUGUAUAUUAAUUAUGCAUAGUAAACGGUAAUAGGUAAUCCCUAUCGCUUGUAAGAGUAGAGGUGCGAACAGAGACGCUUUUUAUAGAAAUGUAAAAAGUAUCCUUGUAAUAGGAUAAGUUUUGUAGUAAUACAAAAUGUGAAACGGCUAAAUCCUUACCGGAAAGCAAGGCUGAAUUUUGGCCGCUUGAUCGUUAAAAGCGAUUUUAACGACAGAGAAAUGAUUGCACUUUUAAUUAUUAUUAAAAGACAGAAUUCGGUGUACAAUCCAUCUUUAAUU